ACGGAAGGCAGCAGUAGGGAAUCUUCGGCAAUGGGGGCAACCCUGACCGAGCAACGCCGCGUGAGUGAAGAAGGUUUUCGGAUCGUAAAGCUCUGUUGUAAGAGAAGAACGUGUGUGAGAGUGGAAAGUUCACACAGUGACGGUAACUUACCAGAAAGGGACGGCUAACUACGUGCCAGCAGCCGCGGUAAUACGUAGGUCCCGAGCGUUGUCCGGAUUUAUUGGGCGUAAAGCGAGCGCAGGCGGUUUAAUAAGUCUGAAGUUAAAGUCAGUGGCUUAACCAUUGUUCGCUUUGGAAACGUUUAGACUUGAGUGCAGAAUGGGAGAGUGGAAUUCCAUGUGUAGCGGUUAAAUGCGUAGAUAUAUGGAGGAACACCUGUGGCGAAAGCGGCUCUCUGGUCUGUAACUGACGCUGAGGCUCGAAAGCGUGGGGAGCAAACAGGAUUAGAUACCCUGGUA
Molecule: ribosomal RNA, 459 nt
Filed under: uncultured Streptococcus sp.
Lineage: Bacteria; Bacillati; Bacillota; Bacilli; Lactobacillales; Streptococcaceae
Description: partial 16S ribosomal RNA
Rfam family: Bacterial small subunit ribosomal RNA
Source: RNAcentral